GACGUAGGAGGCGAGCGUUGUCCGGAUUCAUUGGGCGUAAAGAGCACGCAGGCGGUUUGGCAAGUCGGAUGUGAAAACCCGAAGCUCAACUUCUGGCCUGCAUCCGAUACUGCCCGACUAGAGGUAGGUAGGGGAGAUCGGAAUUCCUGGUGUAGCGGUGAAAUGCGCAGAUAUCAGGAGGAACACCGGUAGCGAAGGCGGAUCUCUGGGCCUUACCUGACGCUCAGGUGCGAAAGCUAGGGGAGCAAACAGG
RNAcentral lists this ribosomal RNA (253 nucleotides) under uncultured bacterium. RNAcentral describes it as "partial 16S ribosomal RNA". It matches the Rfam family "Bacterial small subunit ribosomal RNA", at positions 524 to 776 of the family's 1533-position model. The record is from RNAcentral.